CCUCUCCCUCAGUUGGUAGAGCAUGGUGUUUGCAACGCCAGGGUUGUGGGUUCGAUUCCCACGGGG
RNAcentral lists this transfer RNA (66 nucleotides) under Salmo salar (Atlantic salmon). It matches the Rfam family "tRNA". From Rfam's summary of the family: Transfer RNA (tRNA) molecules are approximately 80 nucleotides in length. Lineage: Eukaryota; Metazoa; Chordata; Actinopteri; Salmoniformes; Salmonidae. The record is from Rfam by way of RNAcentral.